AGUGAACGCUGGCGGUAGGCCUAACACAUGCAAGUCGAACGGCAGCACAGUAAGAGCUUGCUCUUACGGGUGGCGAGUGGCGGACGGGUGAGGAAUACAUCGGAAUCUACUUUUUCGUGGGGGAUAACGUAGGGAAACUUACGCUAAUACCGCAUACGACCUACGGGUGAAAGCAGGGGAUCUUCGGACCUUGCGCGAUUGAAUGAGCCGAUGUCGGAUUAGCUAGUUGGCGGGGUAAAGGCCCACCAAGGCGACGAUCCGUAGCUGGUCUGAGAGGGUGAUCAGCCACACUGGAACUGAGACACGGUCCAGACUCCUACGGGAGGCAGCAGUGGGGAAUAUUGGACAAUGGGCGCAAGCCUGAUCCAGCCAUACCGCGUGGGUGAAGAAGGCCUUCGGGUUGUAAAGCACUUUUGUUGGGAAAGAAAAGCAGCAGGUUAAUACCCCGCUGUUCUGACGGUACCCAAAGAAUAAGCACCGGCUAACUUCGUG
RNAcentral lists this ribosomal RNA (492 nucleotides) under uncultured bacterium. Its description in RNAcentral is "partial 16S ribosomal RNA". It matches the Rfam family "Bacterial small subunit ribosomal RNA", at positions 29 to 507 of the family's 1533-position model. The record is from RNAcentral.